Molecule: ribosomal RNA, 497 nt
Filed under: uncultured bacterium
Lineage: Bacteria
Description: partial 16S ribosomal RNA
Rfam family: Bacterial small subunit ribosomal RNA
Source: RNAcentral
GAUGAACGCUGGCGGCGUGCUUAACACAUGCAAGUCGAGCGAACAGGCGCGACUUUUGUUUCUUUGAUGUUUGCCGAGGACGUGUGUGUCACAUGUGGAACAUCCCCCUAUCUUACUGGUAUCACUUCGGAACACGGUCGAUUAUACCGGAUAAUCUUUUGAUCCGCUUGGGUCAAAUGUGAAAGACGGUCUUGCUGUCAGUUAUAGAUGCAUCCGCGCUGCAUUAGCUUGUUGGUAAGGUCACGGCUUGCCAUGGCAACGAUGCAUAGCCGACCUGAGAGAGUGAUCGGCCGCACUGGAACUGAGACACGGUCCUGAGGCCUACGGGAGGCAGCAGUAGGGAAGCGUCCGCAAUGGGCGAAAGCCUGACGGAGCAACGCCGCGUGAGUGAUGAAGGUCUGCGGAUCGUAAAACUCUGUUAUUAGUGAAGAACAGAUGUGUAAGUAACUGUGCACAUCGUGACGGUACCGAAUCAGAAAGCCACGGCUAACUACGUG